AACGAACGCUGGCGGCAGGCUUAACACAUGCAAGUCGAGCGCCCCGCCCGGGGUGUGGCCGGCGGCUGGGUAACCCGUGGGGACGUACCCUUUGGUUUGGACCAACCCCGGGAAACUGGAGCUAAUACCGGAUAAGCCCUAACGGGGGAAGAUUGAUCGCCGUAGGAUCGGCGCGCGUCUGAUUUGCUAGUUGGUGAGGUAACAGCACAGCAUGGCGACGUUCAGUUGCUGGGGUGGGUGCACGAUCAGCCACACUGGGACUGAGACACGGGCCAGACUCCGACGGGGGGGAGCAGUGUGGAAUAUAGGAGAAUGGGGGCAAGCCUGACCCAGCCAUGCCGGGGAAGUGAUGAAGGCCGUAGGGUUGUAAAGCUCUUUUGGCCGGGAAGAUAAUGACGGUACCGGAAGAAUAAGCCCCGGCUAACUACGUG
Molecule: ribosomal RNA, 431 nt
Filed under: uncultured bacterium
Lineage: Bacteria
Description: partial 16S ribosomal RNA
Rfam family: Bacterial small subunit ribosomal RNA
Source: RNAcentral